AGUGAACGCUGGCGGUAGGCCUAACACAUGCAAGUCGAACGGCAGCACAGUAAGAGCUUGCUCUUACGGGUGGCGAGUGGCGGACGGGUGAGGAAUACAUCGGAAUCUACUUUUUCGUGGGGGAUAACGUAGGGAAACUUACGCUAAUACCGCAUACGACCUACGGGUGAAAGCAGGGGAUCUUCGGACCUUGCGCGAUUGAAUGAGCCGAUGUCGGAUUAGCUAGUUGGCGGGGUAAAGGCCCACCAAGGCGACGAUCCGUAGCUGGUCUGAGGGGAGGAUAAGCCACACUGGAACUGAGAAACGGGCCAGGCCCCCACGGGGGGGAGCAGUGGGGAAUAUUUGAACAUGGGCGAAAGCCUGAGCCAGCCAUGCCGCGUGGGUGAAGAAGGUCUUUGGGGUGUAAAGCCCUUUUUGUUGGGAAGAAAAGGAGGAAGGUAAUACCCCGCUGUUUUGACGGUACCAAAAGAAUAAGCCCCGGCUAACUUUGGG
Molecule: ribosomal RNA, 492 nt
Filed under: uncultured bacterium
Lineage: Bacteria
Description: partial 16S ribosomal RNA
Rfam family: Bacterial small subunit ribosomal RNA
Source: RNAcentral